AGGACCAGAAAGAAAGAGAAGAGAUUAAAAAAAAAAAACAGAAAGGAAAUAUUGAAAGCUUGCUAUGUGCCAGACACUGUGCUUUUUUUUUUUUUUUUUGCUUUGGGGAAUGGAAAAAUCCAAUCUUCCCUUUCUGCAGGAGCGCCCCUUCUAAAGAAGACACACAGCACAUAAGGAAGGUUUCAGCUGCAAGUCAGAUGGAGAAGUUCCCUACUCCUUCAGGGGCAAUGACAAAACAGAUGGUGAUUGUUCUUUAAUUUUGCUUCCAGAAUGAAUUGAAAAUUGAGGCAGAGAAGUUGAGAAGGUAAUGAAUUUGGGUGGGAAUCCUGGCUUUGCCAAGGAAUCCUUCAGAAACUUUGAACAGGUUAGUUAAUGUCUCUUAGCUGCCUAAUUUUCCUCCUCGGUAAACUAAAUCGCACUGGGCUUGAUCGAUAAGGUUCCCCUCCCGCUCUAAUCUAGGAAUUCAGUGGGGGAAUUGGGUGGGAGAGCUCGCAUCUGCACCCCUGAGAGGAGGGAACAUUUGAUGAGGUCACGUGUUGCCGUAGUUUGGACUUUGCCCCCUUCCUUACGUGGUCCCAUGAUCAGCCGGGCCCCCCUCCUGUUCUCCAUCGCUCUGAAUGGACACUAACGGUGCCAUCUCAAGAUCAGACGCCUACCUCAGCUUUGCUUCCCUCCCCUCUCCCCCCUCCCCCCAAGUGCUCACGGGCAGGCCAUUUAAGCCGCUGAACUUGAGUUUUCAGUUCCUGAAAGGAAAAGAGGGAGCUGCGAGCUUGCGGCCAGUUCUCAAAUCUCGGUCUCCGACCCCUCUAGAGGAGUCUUGCAUUAGGACAAAGAAAAUCAUCAAAGCCAAAGCAGCUGACAGAAAGCAUCUGCAACAAUCCAUAACCAUGGACAACACUUCUCCAGCAAAAGGAAGGGGAUGCAGCUCCUCACCCUUGCUUCAGAACUGAGUAAUGUUGAUAAUUGGGCUGCAUUUGGGUCCAUUUUUAGAAUUCUUUUCCUUUGCAUUUCUUUAGUCACUAGCUAUAUAAAUAUAGAUCCAUAACUAUACCAUGUCAUAUGUAAUCAAUAUUAAUAGUGAUUUAGAGCCUUUAUUAUUUUUAAAUGACUAUAGAGAGCUUUGAUUUCUUCUUCCAAAAACUACCCAGUCAUAUUCUUUGACCACUUAUCAACUGGAGUAUGGCUCUUUAAAAAAAAAAAAUAAAUCUCAAUCAAUUUCCUACA
This 1224-nucleotide long non-coding RNA is filed under the name Monodelphis domestica (gray short-tailed opossum). RNAcentral's name for it is "lncRNA (ENSMODG00000030578.2)". Lineage: Eukaryota; Metazoa; Chordata; Mammalia; Didelphimorphia; Didelphidae. The record is from RNAcentral.